GACGAACCGUGCGAACGUUGUUCGGAAUCACUGGGCUUAAAGGGCGCGUAGGCGGCUUGCCAAGUCAGUGGUGAAAUCCUGCAGCUUAACUGUAGAAGUGCCUUUGAUACUGGCAAGCUAGAGCGAGGUAGGGGUCUGUGGAACUUCUGGUGGAGCGGUGAAAUGCGUUGAUAUCAGAAGGAACGCCGGUGGCGAAAGCGACGGACUGGACCUUUUCUGACGCUGAGGCGCGAAAGCCAGGGGAGCAAACGGG
Molecule: ribosomal RNA, 253 nt
Filed under: uncultured bacterium
Lineage: Bacteria
Description: partial 16S ribosomal RNA
Rfam family: Bacterial small subunit ribosomal RNA
Source: RNAcentral